RNAcentral lists this ribosomal RNA (1741 nucleotides) under Salmonella enterica. RNAcentral describes it as "partial 23S ribosomal RNA". It matches the Rfam family "Bacterial large subunit ribosomal RNA", at positions 1 to 1770 of the family's 2925-position model. Lineage: Bacteria; Pseudomonadati; Pseudomonadota; Gammaproteobacteria; Enterobacterales; Enterobacteriaceae. The record is from RNAcentral. RNAcentral also lists the same sequence under 1 other name.
GGGUUGUGAGGUUAAGCGACUAAGCGUACACGGUGGAUGCCCUGGCAGUCAGAGGCGAUGAAGGGCGUGCUAAUCUGCGAUAAGCGCCGGUAAGGUGAUAUGAACCGUUAUAACCGGCGAUACCCGAAUGGGGAAACCCAGUGUGAUUCGUCACACUAUCAUUAACUGAAUCCAUAGGUUAAUGAGGCGAACCGGGGGAACUGAAACAUCUAAGUACCCCGAGGAAAAGAAAUCAACCGAGAUUCCCCCAGUAGCGGCGAGCGAACGGGGAGGAGCCCAGAGCCUGAAUCAGCAUGUGUGUUAGUGGAAGCGUCUGGAAAGGCGCGCGAUACAGGGUGACAGCCCCGUACACAAAAGCGCAUGUGCUGUGAGCUCGAUGAGUAGGGCGGGACACGUGGUAUCCUGUCUGAAUAUGGGGGGACCAUCCUCCAAGGCUAAAUACUCCUGACUGACCGAUAGUGAACCAGUACCGUGAGGGAAAGGCGAAAAGAACCCCGGCGAGGGGAGUGAAAAAGAACCUGAAACCGUGUACGUACAAGCAGUGGGAGCACCCUUUGGGUGUGACUGCGUACCUUUUGUAUAAUGGGUCAGCGACUUAUAUUCUGUAGCAAGGUUAACCGAAUAGGGGAGCCGGAGGGAAACCGAGUCUUAACCGGGCGUUAAGUUGCAGGGUAUAGACCCGAAACCCGGUGAUCUAGCCAUGGGCAGGUUGAAGGUUGGGUAACACUAACUGGAGGACCGAACCGACUAAUGUUGAAAAAUUAGCGGAUGACCUGUGGCUGGGGGUGAAAGGCCAAUCAAACCGGGAGAUAGCUGGUUCUCCCCGAAAGCUAUUUAGGUAGCGCCUCGUGAAUUCAUCUCCGGGGGUAGAGCACUGUUUCGGCUAGGGGGCCAUCCCGGCUUACCAACCCGAUGCAAACUGCGAAUACCGGAGAAUGUUAUCACGGGAGACACACGGCGGGUGCUAACGUCCGUCGUGAAGAGGGAAACAACCCAGACCGCCAGCUAAGGUCCCAAAGUCAUGGUUAAGUGGGAAACGAUGUGGGAAGGCCCAGACAGCCAGGAUGUUGGCUUAGAAGCAGCCAUCAUUUAAAGAAAGCGUAAUAGCUCACUGGUCGAGUCGGCCUGCGCGGAAGAUGUAACGGGGCUAAACCAUGCACCGAAGCUGCGGCAGCGACACUGUGUGUUGUUGGGUAGGGGAGCGUUCUGUAAGCCUGUGAAGGUGUGUCGUGAGGCAUGCUGGAGGUAUCAGAAGUGCGAAUGCUGACAUAAGUAACGAUAAAGCGGGUGAAAAGCCCGCUCGCCGGAAGACCAAGGGUUCCUGUCCAACGUUAAUCGGGGCAGGGUGAGUCGACCCCUAAGGCGAGGCCGAAAGGCGUAGUCGAUGGGAAACGGGUUAAUAUUCCCGUACUUGGUGUUACUGCGAAGGGGGGACGGAGAAGGCUAUGUUGGCCGGGCGACGGUUGUCCCGGUUUAAGCGUGUAGGUGUGUGUUCCAGGUAAAUCCGGUUCACUUUAACACUGAGGCGUGACGACGAGGCACUACGGUGCUGAAGCAACAAAUGCCCUGCUUCCAGGAAAAGCCUCUAAGCAUCAGGUAACAUCAAAUCGUACCCCAAACCGACACAGGUGGUCAGGUAGAGAAUACCAAGGCGCUUGAGAGAACUCGGGUGAAGGAACUAGGCAAAAUGGUGCCGUAACUUCGGGAGAAGGCACGCUGACACGUAGGUGAAGUGAUUUAC